Molecule: ribosomal RNA, 253 nt
Filed under: uncultured bacterium
Lineage: Bacteria
Description: partial 16S ribosomal RNA
Rfam family: Archaeal small subunit ribosomal RNA
Source: RNAcentral
UACCCGCAGCUCAAGUGGUGGUCAUUAUUAUUGGGCCUAAAGCGUCCGUAGCUGGCUUGUUAGAUGCCUGGGUAAAUCGAUGCGCUCAACGCAUCGAACUCCGGGUAGACCGGCAAGCUUGGGACCGGGAGAGGCGUGAGCUACUCGAGGGGUAGGGGUAAAAUCCUGUAAUCCUUCGGGGAGGACCAGUGGCGAAGGCGUCACGCUAGAACGGCUCCGACAGUGAGGGACGAAGCCCUGGGGCGCAAACCGG